Molecule: long non-coding RNA, 290 nt
Organism: Salvia splendens (bonfire salvia)
Lineage: Eukaryota; Viridiplantae; Streptophyta; Magnoliopsida; Lamiales; Lamiaceae
Exons: 2
Source: RefSeq, a predicted model, not a curated record
AGAUUUAAUAUUGAGGGAGAGUAGUUAAAGACAUGGGAGAGAUUUAGCAGAGGAGAAUGGGCGGUUUGGAUGUGGGAGGAGGAAAAUAUCUUAGAAUUUUUAAUUAAAAUGAUUGACUUGGUAUAAUCGGUUCAAGCUCGUGGCCGUCCGCGUUGAAGUACCCGAUUUUCUUUAGAACGAAGGAUGUAUUAAGUUAAAUUUUCGUUGGACUUUUAUUGAAUGUAUCGGACAUUAAAAUUUUAAUUAUGGGUCUUGAUUCUUUUAUUAUACAUAUAUAUAUUUUUUAUAUA